RNAcentral lists this long non-coding RNA (326 nucleotides) under Anas platyrhynchos platyrhynchos (common mallard). Its description in RNAcentral is "lncRNA (ENSAPLG00000026803.1)". Lineage: Eukaryota; Metazoa; Chordata; Aves; Anseriformes; Anatidae. The record is from RNAcentral.
GAAGUCAGAGUUAGGUCACUACAACUAUGCAGAUAUAAAGCUUCUAUUUUAGUGUCUCAAAUCCUUUCAGAAAUUUAGGUAUUCAAGGCAUUUAGACAUUAAAAGCAGUUCUAUUCUCCUAAGCAACUUUUUAGAUCUGGACCACGCUGUUUUGUUGGUUUUGUGACCCUGAUCCCAUGGGCAUGAAGCAUUAAAGGAACUUCAGCGGAAAUUUAUGUCCAGUAUUGGAAAGUGCAUUCAAAAAUAAGACUCAAAGAGAGUUCAGAUGAGUGCUACAGGAAACACCUACAAAACAUGACCUGAAGGUACUGGAUAGAAUUCAGUGC